Molecule: ribosomal RNA, 496 nt
Filed under: uncultured bacterium
Lineage: Bacteria
Description: partial 16S ribosomal RNA
Rfam family: Bacterial small subunit ribosomal RNA
Source: RNAcentral
GAUGAACGCUGGCGGCGUGCCUAAUACAUGCAAGUCGAGCGAACGGACGAGAAGCUUGCUUCUCUGAUGUUAGCGGCGGACGGGUGAGUAACACGUGGAUAACCUACCUAUAGGACUGGGAUAACUUCGGGAAACCGGAGCUAAUACCGGAUGAUAUUUUGAACCGCAUGGUUCAAAAGUGAAAGACGGUCUUGCUGUCACUUAUAGAUGGAUCCGCGCUGCAUUAGCUAGUUGGUAAGGUAACGGCUUACCAAGGCAACGAUGCAUAGCCGACCUGAGAGGGUGAUCGGCCACACUGGACUGAGGCCACGGUCCGAACUCCUAGGGAGGCAGCAGUAGGGAAUCUUCCGCAAUGGGCGAAAGCCUGACGGAGCAACGCCGCGUGAGUGAUGAAGGUCUUCGGAUCGUAAAACUCUGUUAUUAGGGAAGAACAUAUGUGUAAGUAACUGUGCACAUCUUGACGGUACCUAAUCAGAAAGCCACGGCUAACUACGUG